RNAcentral lists this ribosomal RNA (508 nucleotides) under uncultured bacterium. Its description in RNAcentral is "partial 16S ribosomal RNA". It matches the Rfam family "Bacterial small subunit ribosomal RNA", at positions 28 to 507 of the family's 1533-position model. The record is from RNAcentral.
GACGAACGCUGGCGGCGUGCCUAAUACAUGCAAGUCGAACGCUUCUUUCCUCCCGAGUGCUUGCACUCAAUUGGAAAGAGGAGUGGCGGACGGGUGAGUAACACGUGGGUAACCUACCCAUCAGAGGGGGAUAACACUUGGAAACAGGUGCUAAUACCGCAUAACAGUUUAUGCCGCAUGGCAUAAGAGUGAAAGGCGCUUUCGGGUGUCGCUGAUGGAUGGACCCGCGGUGCAUUAGCUAGUUGGUGAGGUAACGGCUCACCAAGGCCACGAUGCAUAGCCGACCUGAGAGGGUGAUCGGCCACACUGUGACUGAGACACGGCCCAGACUCCUACGGGAGGCAGCAGUAGGGAAUCUUCGGCAAUGGACGAAAGUCUGACCGAGCAACGCCGCGUGAGUGAAGAAGGUUUUCGGAUCGUAAAACUCUGUUGUUAGAGAAGAACAAGGACGUUAGUAACUGAACGUCCCCUGACGGUAUCUAACCAGAAAGCCACGGCUAACUACGUG